Stegodyphus mimosarum is the source of this 71-nucleotide non-coding RNA. The record is from Rfam. Lineage: Eukaryota; Metazoa; Arthropoda; Arachnida; Araneae; Eresidae.
GCCUUCGUGGUGUUACGGUAGCACACUCGGCGUAUAUUCGAGAAGUUCAGGUUCGAAUCCCAGCGAGGGCA